This 164-nucleotide ribosomal RNA is filed under the name Kirganelia dinklagei. RNAcentral's name for it is "Phyllanthus dinklagei 5.8S ribosomal RNA". It matches the Rfam family "5.8S ribosomal RNA". From Rfam's summary of the family: 5.8S ribosomal RNA (5.8S rRNA) is a component of the large subunit of the eukaryotic ribosome. It is transcribed by RNA polymerase I as part of the 45S precursor that also contains 18S and 28S rRNA. Functionally, it is thought that 5.8S rRNA may be involved in ribosome translocation. The record is from RNAcentral. Lineage: Eukaryota; Viridiplantae; Streptophyta; Magnoliopsida; Malpighiales; Phyllanthaceae. RNAcentral also lists the same sequence under 1 other name.
AAAACGACUCUCGGCAACGGAUAUCUCGGCUCUCGCAUCGAUGAAGAACGCAGCGAAAUGCGAUACUUGGUGUGAAUUGCAGAAUCCCGUGAACCAUCGAGUUUUUGAACGCAAGUUGCGCCCAAAGCCUUCGGGCCGAGGGCACGUCUGCCUGGGUGUCACGC